Molecule: ribosomal RNA, 954 nt
Filed under: Triticum aestivum (bread wheat)
Lineage: Eukaryota; Viridiplantae; Streptophyta; Magnoliopsida; Poales; Poaceae
Description: partial small subunit ribosomal RNA
Source: RNAcentral
AUGGCAGAGGAGAUUGCUGCUCUUGAACGCACUGGUACUUGGGAUCUUGUUUCUCUUCCUCCCGGAGUCCGUCCGAUCACUUGUAAGUGGGUCUACAAGGUUAAGACUCGCUCCGAUGGUUCUCUUGAGCGUCACAAAGCUCGUCUUGUGGCUCGUGGUUUUCAGCAGGAGCAUGGUCGUGAUUAUGACGAGACUUUUGCUCCUGUGGCUCAUAUGACCACUGUUCGUACCCUUCUUGCCGUUGCCUCUGCACGCCACUGGUCUAUAUCUCAGCUUGAUGUUAAGAAUGCCUUUCUUAAUGGUGAGCUGCGUGAGGAGGUGUACAUGCAGCCACCACCUGGGUAUUCUGUUCCUGAUGGCAUGAUAUGUCGUCUUCGUCGCUCUCUCUAUGGCCUUAAGCAAGCCCCCCGCGCCUGGUUUGAGCGCUUUGCCUCUGUGAUCACUGCUGCUGGUUUUUUAGCAAGUGCUCAUGAUCCCGCAUUGUUUAUUCACCUUUCUCCUCGUGGUCGGACACUUCUUCUUCUUUAUGUUGAUGACAUGAUCAUCACGGGGGAUGACCCCGAGUAUAUUGCCUUUGUAAAGGCCCGUCUUAGUGAGCAGUUUCUUAUGUCUGAUCUUGGACCUCUUCGCUACUUUCUUGGGAUUGAAGUCUCUUCUACCUCUGAUGGCUUUUUUAUAUCACAGGAAAAGUAUAUCCAGGAUCUUCUUGCUCGUGCUGCUCUUACUGACGAGCGCGUUGUUGAGACUCCUAUGGAGCUCAAUGUUCACCUCCGUGCUACUGAUGGUGAUCCUCUCCCUGAUCCGACGCGUCAUCGUCAUCUUGUUGGCAGUCUUGUCUAUCUAGCUGUCACUCGUCCGGACAUAUCUUAUCCGGUUCAUAUUCUGAGUCAGUUUGUCUCUGCCCCCACCUCGGUUCACUAUAGUCAUCUCCUUCGUGUUCUUCGAUAUCUUUGA